RNAcentral lists this small RNA (554 nucleotides) under Pongo abelii (Sumatran orangutan). RNAcentral's name for it is "processed transcript". Lineage: Eukaryota; Metazoa; Chordata; Mammalia; Primates; Hominidae. The record is from RNAcentral.
AAAGCUGUGCCCAUUUCAGGCUGCAGCUGCCGGCAGCAGGAACUUCUGCUGCUUUCAUUUGAGACGGAGCACUGACAAGCUCUCCAGAGCACAUGGUCUUCAGCGGGUACAGGCAAAUCUCAAACUGCUGAUGUCCAUUCUCCUGCUGUUACCUCCAGGCUCAAAUGAGGCAUGGGCUGGCUGUCCCAUCGGUCUUGGCAGCUGUCGUAAUUGCCAACCUGAAAGGGAUGUUUAUGCAGGUGUGUGACAUUCCUCGUCUGUGGAGGCAGAAUAAGAUUGAUGCUGUUAUCUGGGUGUUUACGUGUAUAGUGUCCAUCAUUCUGGGGCUGGAUCUCGGUUUACUAGCUGGCCUUAUAUUUGGACUAUUGACUGUGGUCCUGAGAGUUCAGUUUCCUUCUUGGAAUGGCCUUGGAAGCAUCCCUAGCACAGAUAUCUACAAAAGUACCAAGAAUUACAAAAAUAUUGAAGAACCUCGAGGAGUGAAGAUUCUUAGAUUUUCCAGUCCUAUUUUCUAUGGCAAUGUUGAUGGUUUUAAAAAAUGUAUCAAGUCCACA